Tripterygium wilfordii is the source of this 2153-nucleotide long non-coding RNA. RefSeq lists it as uncharacterized. The record is from RefSeq and is a predicted model, not a curated record. The transcript has 4 exons. Lineage: Eukaryota; Viridiplantae; Streptophyta; Magnoliopsida; Celastrales; Celastraceae.
GAUUUAGUCGCUUGAGUUUAGGACAUGUCGAAUUUUCAGAGGCCAAGAAUUUCGCCAACUUGACUAGACUAUUGAUCACACCCUUCACAGUCGCACCACACUCAAAUAAUCAAUUUCCGAGCAGAAAUGCCAGCUGAGGAGGAGCUCCAGAAGUUUUGCUAUUGUUAUUGUACGCAUGGAAUUCGUUGUUCUAGUUAAAGCACAAGUAGGCAAAUCACAACUUCUUGCAUUGUUAACCUACUCGAACCAACACGCUCACUUUUUUUGUCUUCUAAGUUCUAACUAGACGGAGAAAGUUUAAGAUGGAGAUCGAUGCCGGCAUUGUCUCCAUCAGGUGUCUCACCUGGAAUCCCAGCAAAUGGAGGACUUGCAGCAUCAAGAACCAAUGGUUGUGCGAUGUGGGUUUGAGAAGGCGACAGUCGCAGCAACAAUGGGGCUGAAUGGUAACAACUUGCCGGCAGUGACCCGACUCUCGAAGCAAUGCCGGAGUUGCAUCCUGCGAACCCGUUUGGAUGGAAGGACGGGACUGAUGAUCCAACUACAUGAUGUCUUAGAACCGUUGCUGUAAAGCGCCUACCAGGGUUCUCUGGUUUGGGGGCUAGGAUUUCAUCUUGCUUGGUCAGUACAGAACCAAAAAGCUUCAGUUCUGAAGUGGGAUUAUGAUCACACAUUGGUUUCUCUGGGGAUGACGAGAACUUAGCGUGGAUUGAGCUCUCUGCCAUAUUCUCAGAAGGGGAAGUUGCUGUUAGAUGUUUGAAACCUGAUGCCCUGUAUUUAUACACACAGAGUUGCAUUUGGCGUACUUGGAAGGGAAAAAUGGUACGAAGGCAAUUGAAGAUAUGUAUGAAGAAAGGGUCUCACGUUGGUUGGCAAUGCUUUUUCUCUGGCCGGGUGCAAGUGAGUGGGGUGUAGCCCAAACCCAACAAUUUGUGAACAAAAACAAGAGUAUGACACUUCUUUCAUUGGUUCCCCCUUGUCUCUGAUCUCUUUGAAUAAAAAAGCAUAUUGAUGACUUGAUGUGAUCGAAUACAAUCAUAUGCGAUAAAGGAAGGGAAAAUAAUAUCUAAAUACAUGGGCAUGACAUUUUACCUAAGUUGCAGGUGUUCCUGGAUGCCUUCUUUGUGGGUGCCUGUAUCCACGUCACUUCCUCUCUCUUCAGUUGCCAUUUCAAUAAGGUAAGGAUUUGUUGCGCGGGAUGAUGAUAUAAUAAUCAAGUCCAUGGCCUGGUUAUAUAUAUGGCGUGGCAUCAUUAGUCUCUUUUACAAGAUUAAUCUAGACAGACUGCUUCCUUGUUUCUUUUCUUCCUUUCCCUUUAUAGACCGAAAGAAAACUUAUUAUUAAUUGUUUAAUCUUUUAGCAGGGAAGAAGUUAUCUGUAUCUUUGAUAGAAAGAAAGUAUUGGAAAAUAUACCCAGACAGCAUCCUUUUUUAUCUCCACAACUAUUAAGGGGAGGGGAGCAUCCUAUUUAAUUUAUUUUCUCACUUUGUUCUUUUGCAAAGACGGCAAUGACUGCUUUAGUUUAGAUGGUGUUAUCGGACAUUUUAUCCAAUGAGAAUUGACAACCGAUAAAAUAUUUGAUAAUGAGAGGAAACCAGGUAAAAGUAAGAAACAUGAUUCAAAGUAGAGAUAUUUCCAAAGAUGAGAGAUUCUCAUUAGAUAUGGUUAUCAUUUGGGUGGGUUAGCCUAGUUGAAGAAUCUCUUAAGGGCCAAACAAUAUAGUCAUGUUUCCAUGUUCGACACCUUUUGACACAGUGGAUAUGAAUAAUAUGGUGAUAUCCACCACCACCACCACCAAAGCAGAUAAAAAAAACACAAGUAUAUAUCAUUGAUAUUCUCUGCAAAUCACCAAGCCACAGUUUCAAUAUAUAUAUUUAUUUAUUGUGUUUAAACUUAUAAGUGUGCUAUAGUAUAGAUAAUUAGAUAGGUGCACCACUUUUCUGAAUCAGUAAACCACGAUAGCACUGUGGCGCACAAUUUUAACUUUCUUGGGCCAACUAGAAGUAAAUGGGCCUGAGAGAUGUUUGGCCCCUGCUUGAUCUUUAGGAUAUGGAAUAUAAACUCUCUUAGACUACUAUAGUUUGAUGGAUAAUUUGACUCGACUUUUAUAGUUUUAUGUUAUGUUGGAUUUGCUUUGUGAAUGCUUGAUGCGUGCC